GAGGGUAUCGCUCAGUGGUGGAGUGCAUGCCUAGCAUACAUGAGGUUCAGAGUUCAACCCCUGGUACCUCCA
RNAcentral lists this transfer RNA (72 nucleotides) under Camelus bactrianus (Bactrian camel). It matches the Rfam family "tRNA". Rfam says of the family: Transfer RNA (tRNA) molecules are approximately 80 nucleotides in length. The record is from Rfam by way of RNAcentral. Lineage: Eukaryota; Metazoa; Chordata; Mammalia; Artiodactyla; Camelidae. RNAcentral also lists the same sequence under 3 other names.